This is a non-coding RNA of Heterocephalus glaber (naked mole-rat), 1149 nucleotides long. The record is from RefSeq and is a predicted model, not a curated record. NCBI's taxonomy places the organism in Eukaryota, Metazoa, Chordata, Mammalia, Rodentia, Bathyergidae.
AUAGUUUGACUACAACCCAGAGGCUCAUAUGCUGAAGGACUGGACCCCAGCUGGUGGUCCUUACUGAGAAGUGGUGGAGCCCUUAGGAGGUGGGAUCUAGUUGGAAGAGUCAUGACAAUUCCAGUGGAAGAGUUCAGAAAAUAGUUGGAACAGUGACAGUGCUGAUGGAGAAAGCAUAAUGAGACUUUCCAAGGCUCCUUGGAUUCAUCUGUCUAAUAGAAACAUUGGAAGAGGCACAGUAUGAAAGAAAUACCUGUUGAAAGAUACUUGAAUUUUGUGCUCUUUGGCCAGGAAAUUACAGAAAAGUAAACUAAUUAAAAGAAGACAAUCUUCAUGAAAAGUUCUUUAAAGUAUAAACUUUGCUUGUUUGUUAUUAUGAGUAUAGAUUUUUUGGAUAUGUUCUAUCAGUGUUUAUCUCAACAUAUGGCUAGAGGAGGGGAAGAAGAGGGGGGAACAGUUUAAGACUACAGAGAUGAACUGUUUUGAAUGUGCUGGGGAGAGAGGACUCUGGAUGUUUGACCAUUUUCUAUAGUCAUGGAGCUCAACACAGUUUACCAUUUGUAUAGGAAUCUUUUAGCUCUUGGAUGGAAAAAGCUCUUUCCUGUAAAACUUCACAGAAUUUCUGCUUCUGGCAGGGGCAACAUGGAUCCUGAGAGCUUGUGACACAGUUGUCCAAAUGGUCACCAAAUAAAGUGAGAAAAGUCUCAGCUGUUCAAAUACCAUGUUGUCAGUGUGUUCAUUACCCUAUUCACUUUGGAACCCACCUACUCAAGUAGUACCAAUCCCUCUUACUCUGCUCUGUCUUUCCUGUAGCACGUUACCUUUCAUUAUGUUUCCUGUUCACUAUCUACUUCCUCUUGUGCCCUGAGAUUUCUGUCUGCUAUGUUCUCUGAUGUAUCCCAGGAGAGUGCCUAGCACAUUGUGAUUAAUGAAUAUUUGUUGAACAAAUGAAUGAAUGGAUUUGGAUCUCAAAUCUUAGACAGCUUAGGAUUUUUUCUUGUGAACUAACACAGUACUCUCAAGUGAAAAGGGAAUAGUGCAGAAUAUAUUUAAGGUGGUCUUAAUUAAGGGUCCACUGAACAGAAAACUUAUGACGUGCAGUCAGAUGAUGGCAAUAUAAGAUGUAAGUGGAGUGAGUUGGGAAGAUGC